GCCGGGCAUGGUGGCAUGUGCCUGUAGUGCCAGCUACUCAGGAGGCUAAGGCAGGAGGAUCACUUGAGUCCAAGAAUUCUGGGUUGUAAUGCACUAUGUCUAUCAGGUGUUUGCACUAAGUUCAGCAUCAACAUAGUGACCUCCCGGGAGUGGGAGGUUGCCUAUGAACCAGCCCAGGUUGGAAAUGGAGAAGGUCAAAACUCCCAUGCUGAUCGGUAUUGGGACUGUACCUGUGAAUAGCCACUGCACUCCAGACUGGGCAACACAGCGAGACCCUGUCCCU
RNAcentral lists this signal recognition particle RNA (283 nucleotides) under Mandrillus leucophaeus (drill). RNAcentral's name for it is "Metazoan signal recognition particle RNA (ENSMLEG00000008186.1)". It matches the Rfam family "Metazoan signal recognition particle RNA". From Rfam's summary of the family: The signal recognition particle (SRP) is a universally conserved ribonucleoprotein. It is involved in the co-translational targeting of proteins to membranes. Lineage: Eukaryota; Metazoa; Chordata; Mammalia; Primates; Cercopithecidae. The record is from RNAcentral.